RNAcentral lists this ribosomal RNA (392 nucleotides) under uncultured bacterium. Its description in RNAcentral is "bacterial SSU rRNA". It matches the Rfam family "Bacterial small subunit ribosomal RNA", at positions 495 to 889 of the family's 1533-position model. The record is from RNAcentral.
UAGUAUCAGCGUGUCAGCAGCCGCGGUAAUACGGAGGAUCCAAGCGUUAUCCGGAUUUAUUGGGUUUAAAGGGUGCGUAGGCGGCCUGUUAAGUCAGGGGUGAAAGACGGUAGCUCAACUAUCGCAGUGCCCUUGAUACUGAUGGGCUUGAAUGGACUAGAGGUAGGCGGAAUGAGACAAGUAGCGGUGAAAUGCAUAGAUAUGUCUCAGAACACCGAUUGCGAAGGCAGCUUACUAUGGUCUUAUUGACGCUGAGGCACGAAAGCGUGGGGAUCAAACAGGAUUAGAUACCCUGGUAGUCCACGCCCUAAACGAUGAACACUCGCUGUUGGCGAUACACAGUCAGCGGCUAAGCGAAAGCGUUAAGUGUUCCACCUGGGGAGUACGCCCGC